Long non-coding RNA from Helianthus annuus (common sunflower), 556 nucleotides. RefSeq lists it as uncharacterized. NCBI's taxonomy places the organism in Eukaryota, Viridiplantae, Streptophyta, Magnoliopsida, Asterales, Asteraceae. The record is from RefSeq and is a predicted model, not a curated record. The transcript has 2 exons.
AAUGGACAAAACUGAAAAUGAAAUUAAUAAAAAGAAAAUUUGACUCAAAACACACACAAGGUGUGUGUUCUGGUCGAUGUUUACACAUAGCAAGAAAGGGGUUCCUUCUUUUGAACCCUAAACUCACUAUUUGAUCAAAAUCAGAGGGAAAACAAGCUAGGAAUUUGGGGCUUUUACUAAAUUCGCGAUCACCAAGACAAGGGGGUUGUAAGUGUCCGAAGUCGGCUGAACUGUUUUGACAGCAAGCUGAUUGGAAGCAUUUUGACUUCUGAGCUGAUUUUGCGAAAAUCAUAAUAAAUUCUAGGAAGCUCGGAUUGAGCUGAUUCUUUUUGCGCUGGAAAGAUAUUUUAGUAUUCUACAUUUCAUCUUUGAUCACGAAAGGCUAAAUAAAACCGUAAAGUGGUCAAAAGAGUCGAUUCAGUAGCUAUAUUGUAAAGUUGCUGCACAUUGUAUUGAUAAACUUAAUCUAAGAAAAAUUGUAUGCAAGAAAAGGAUAAAUUGUGAGAAAUGUGAUAAUGAUGGCAUUCUAAUAAAUUAGCUUGAGGCAAUGUGUCUA